ACGUUAUAUUAUUAUAAUAUAGAGUAUGCACGUAGUAUGUAUUUCCUAAAAAGCGUUUUAGUAAUAUUUACAGCGAUAUUUAAUUAUAAUUUAUCGUUAUUGCAGUUUUUGGAGCCUUCAUGUUUCCAGGAAGAAAACUUAGUUGAUUCAUCUAUACCUACAACGGAAUUAAAAUCAAGUACCGUGGAAUUAGACCAACCUCACACAUCUCAGAAACUCAAUCUCACUGUGCCUGGAUUGCCAUUUGAAGCUGAAACUGGAGCCCUGGAGACAAAGAGUACACUCGUGGAAGAAAAAGAAACCUCCGACCCAAAAACUCUCCUCUAUGUACAAAAGGCAGGUAUCUGUAAUACAAUAGGUACUUACCGUAAAUUAAAUGCAACUAAAAUAUCA
Leguminivora glycinivorella is the source of this 393-nucleotide long non-coding RNA. RefSeq lists it as uncharacterized. Lineage: Eukaryota; Metazoa; Arthropoda; Insecta; Lepidoptera; Tortricidae. The transcript is spliced from 3 exons. The record is from RefSeq and is a predicted model, not a curated record.